Molecule: non-coding RNA, 72 nt
Organism: Dipodomys ordii (Ord's kangaroo rat)
Lineage: Eukaryota; Metazoa; Chordata; Mammalia; Rodentia; Heteromyidae
Source: Rfam
GGGAAGUUGGCUCAGUGGUAGAGUGCUUGCCUUGAAUGCAUGAGGCCCUGAGUUCGAUUCUUUAGCACCACA